UCCUGUGUCCCUUGGUGUUUUGUUUUGCUUUGCUUUGCUUCUGUGGUCAGAACGUUUACAGGAGGUCUACCCUCUUAACCAAAUUGUAAGUGUAUGAAAUGGCAUCGUUAGCUAUAGGCACCUCAGCCUUCUCUUACUAAACAUUCUGGCUCCCACCAGAAUCUUGUGGGAUGACCUAGCUGAGGAACUAGGCAACCACAUGUGAUGUCCGUCUCCUAAAUUCUAAACUCCCGCGACUUCAGGGGUUGGAGCCAGUCUGCCUCGUGGACUGUCACAGUGAGUUCACUCUUGCCAGCUUCUAUGUCAGAGGGACGGGUUACUUGACCUGAUCCCACUCCCAGGAUACACCCUUCUGGGAGCCAGUGGCCCUCUGCCCACCUCCUUCAGUUCUCACUUCCUUAAAAAGCCUUGCCAGAUUUCGUCCCCACGCUGAUGCCCUCACUGGCUCCAGAGUCCACCCCGCCUUCACCUCAACCAGGCUGCCAGGGUUGGAAUGGUGUCUCCUUGCUCCUUCUUGGAUUUCGCACCUCUCAUCUGGCGGUGACAGGGUCUCCAGGGCCGUGUGACUCACCAGCAACUGGCGUUGUCAGCCUGGCUGUCAUGUGACGCUGUGGGACCCCAGAGGGUGGGCGGGCAGCGCGGGUCAGGAGGGCUUGCUCGCAGCACGCUCGGGGGCCUCCCUCCCCACUCUUUGCUGUCCUGUGCUGUUGUCUUGGUGCCCAGGAAGCCUGUGGGGGAAAGAGAGUCUGGCCCCUCUUCCUGUCAGCGAUGACUUUCUGCUUGGAGCUGACCCUCCGGGAUGCACCCAGAGUCUAAACCCCAUUUCCAUUCUCACAUCACCCAUCCAUCCGUUCAAAAAAUAUGUCUGGAGCAACUUCUACUAGAGUGCCAAGCCCUACGCGAAGAGCUGAGGUUUCAACCACCUGCAAGCUAGACAGGUUUUUUGCCAUAUGGGAUCUUAGCUCCCUGACCAGAAAUUCAACCCACACCCACUGCGCUGGAAGGCAAAGUCUCAACCACUGGACAGCCAGGGAAGUCCCAAGCACAGUGGUUUUGCUCGAAGAGGAGAUGCUGCUGAUUUCUUGAGUGUGAGUAGGAAUUAGAUCCCUCGAAGGCAGACACUGGCUCCUCUUUCUGGCUUCUACCUCCCCACCCCUCCCAGGCUCCUAGCACCACACGGGGCUCAUGGGAAAGCUGACUGACUGGCUGAGUGGAGAACAGCAAGGGUUAAUUAAUCCUCGAAGGAAGACCUCCUACCUCGAAGGAAGAGUCCUACCGCCUGUUCCCCGAGGGCCCACAAACCUCUCCUGGCACCUUCUGCAGCUCCGUGAUUCUUGUACCUCAUCUUGCCGCCUGGCGCUGCCGGUUCCGCCUGUCCUGUCCCCUUUGGCCUCUCUGGGGAGACGUCGCUGGCUUUGAGUUCUGAAUAUUUCAGCUGGUUUCUGUGAUCAGGGCCUGCUCCGAGGCCAAUCCAAUGAAUUCAGCCACCUCCCUGUUUUACAAGUCCCUGUUCCUCCAAUCAUCUCCUCUGCCUUCCUGCACAAAUUUUUGCUCUUUUCCUUCCGAGUGGGGAAUAAGCCUGACAUCCUGAGCCUGGUUCUUCUCCAGGCCCCCGUACAUCCCCUCCCUCAUUGAGCAAGGACUUGCUGGGCCCUGACUCUGGGCCUGGGUCGGGGAGUGACCUAGGCAGCGGUCUGGAAGCAGGGAAGACUC
Non-coding RNA from Odocoileus virginianus texanus, 1713 nucleotides. NCBI's taxonomy places the organism in Eukaryota, Metazoa, Chordata, Mammalia, Artiodactyla, Cervidae. The record is from RefSeq and is a predicted model, not a curated record.